AUAAAAAGCGGCAAUUCAUAUAAGCUCUAACGUGAGUACAUCCUGCCAAGUCAGAAGAAACUAAAAAGUACAAAGGGGCGGAAGUUCCAAUGUAGGCAUCUACAAGAACUUUCCUAAAUGACGAACAAUAUAGGAGGUGAUCCAGUAUACUGCCUUGUUCGCCUCCUGAAAAACAUGAGCUACCUGAUGCACACCCCACUUCACUACCAGCCUCCGUGUCUUACGAAUAAACGGAUGUCCAUCUCCAUACCUAUCCACGCCCCGAAGUCACUCGAUCACCAUAGAUGAGUCUUCUUCGAUGUACACCCACUUGGCACCAAGCAUCCGCCUUGUAUAUGAUAUCCCCUUCCAAGCUGCUCGAAGCUUCGCCCCAGCUACGGUAAGACUUGGCGUGCGUCGACUCCUUGCUGCUACCAGACUGCUAUAGUGGUCUCUGAUCACAAAUCUAACACCUCCGGACCUCCCAUC
RNAcentral lists this long non-coding RNA (468 nucleotides) under Phoenix dactylifera (date palm). Its description in RNAcentral is "long non-coding RNA (PDAC_LNC014113)". The record is from RNAcentral. Lineage: Eukaryota; Viridiplantae; Streptophyta; Magnoliopsida; Arecales; Arecaceae.